UGCAAGUCGAGCGGGGAAAAGUAGCUUGCUACAUUACCUAGCGGCGGACGGGUGAGUAAUGCUUAGGAAUCUGCCUAUUAGUGGGGGACAACAUCUCGAAAGGGAUGCUAAUACCGCAUACGUCCUACGGGAGAAAGCAGGGGACCUUCGGGCCUUGCGCUAAUAGAUGAGCCUAAGUCGGAUUAGCUAGUUGGUGGGGUAAAGGCCUACCAAGGCGACGAUCUGUAGCGGGUCUGAGAGGAUGAUCCGCCACACUGGGACUGAGACACGGCCCAGACUCCUACGGGAGGCAGCAGUGGGGAAUAUUGGACAAUGGGGGGAACCCUGAUCCAGCCAUGCCGCGUG
Molecule: ribosomal RNA, 345 nt
Filed under: Acinetobacter lwoffii
Lineage: Bacteria; Pseudomonadati; Pseudomonadota; Gammaproteobacteria; Moraxellales; Moraxellaceae
Description: bacterial SSU rRNA
Rfam family: Bacterial small subunit ribosomal RNA
Source: RNAcentral